UACGGGGGGGGCAAGCGUUGUUCGGAAUUACUGGGCGUAAAGGGUUUGUAGGUGGCCAACUAAGUCAGACGUGAAAUCCCCCGGCUUAACCUGGGAACUGCGUCUGAUACUGGGAGGCUUGAGUAUGGGAGAGGGAUGUAGAAUUCCAGGUGUAGCGGUGAAAUGCGUAGAUAUCUGGAGGAAUACCGGUGGCGAAGGCGGCAUCCUGGACCAUUACUGACGCUGAGGCGCGAAAGCUAGGGGAGCAAACGGG
Molecule: ribosomal RNA, 253 nt
Filed under: uncultured bacterium
Lineage: Bacteria
Description: partial 16S ribosomal RNA
Rfam family: Bacterial small subunit ribosomal RNA
Source: RNAcentral